AUGCAGAUGGUCUCCUGCGGUCUCACGGCCGUGAACAUCAACGGAGAUAUAGGCCCUUACUUCCCCACCCUUUGUGGGGUUAGGCAAGGGGACCCCUUCUCUCCGUUCUUGUUCAAUAUGGUGGUGGACGCUCUUGCCGCCAUCCUGGAUAAGGCGAAGGCUGCUGGCCAUAUUCAUGGGAUCACCCCCCACCUGGCCGGAGGCUCCAGGAUUUCCCUCCUCCAGUAUGCCAACGACACCUUCAUCAUGGUC
Molecule: ribosomal RNA, 252 nt
Filed under: Triticum aestivum (bread wheat)
Lineage: Eukaryota; Viridiplantae; Streptophyta; Magnoliopsida; Poales; Poaceae
Description: partial small subunit ribosomal RNA
Source: RNAcentral